AAUGGACAACUCAAUGUUGCUCGUGCUAUUGGCGAUUGGCACGUGGAAGGGAUGAAAAGCCGAGGCGGGGGACCACUCAGCGCAGAACCUGAGUUUAUGAGUACAAAACUCACCGCCGAGGAUGAAUUCCUCAUAAUUGGUUGCGACGGGAUUUGGGAUGUAUUUAGGAGCCAGAAUGCAGUAGACUUUGCUCGCCGCAGGCUUCAGGAACAUAAUGACCCCACCAUGUGUAGCAAGGAUUUGGUUGAUGAGGCUUUGAAAAGAAAGAGUGGAGACAAUUUAUCUGCUGUUGUAAUUUGCUUCCAGCAACAACCUCCGCCUAACUUGGUGGUGCCGCGCUCGAGAGUGCACAGGAGCUUCUCCGCCGAAGGCUUGAGGGAGUUGCAAAGCUUCCUGGAUAACUUAGGUAAUUGAGCUUUUGAUGUUAAAUUUUCUCUUUUUUUUUUGUCUAAUGACGGAUCAGGUAUUUGAUGGACAUGGUGGAAAGCAUGCUGCUGAUUUUGCUUGCCACCAUUUACCAAAGUUCAUUGUUCAAGAUGAUGAUUUCCCAAGUGAUAUUGAGAGGAUAAUUGCUUCAGCAUUUCUGCAAACUGACAAUGCCUUCGCAGAAGCCUGCUCUGUGGAUGCUACCCUUGCAUCUGGCACUACGGCGUUGGCUGCUCUUGUUAUUGGAAGGUUAGGUUUUUGAUACUAAACAAUCUCAACAUACAUUUGAGAAAAUAAGUUUAAGAGCACUAUAGUGCCAAAUGCAUUUUAUUUAUUAUUCUUUACUUCUUAGGUCUUCAGUGUGUUUGAAAUCAUUUGGGUCCAAUGGAGCUUCAGGGGGCAUUGUAACCUGUCUCAAAAGUUGGCCCUUUGUUAUUUUUCUAUGCUUUUCCUUCUCUGAAUGUUGGAGCUCAUUAAUGAUUUAAUUAGUUAUCCAUUAUAGCAUGUUGAAACUUGGCAUCUGUGAGCUGGUGAGUAUGUGCGAAGGAAGAAAAAAGAAGAAAGAGAGGAGAGAAUAUGGAAAAUAGAGCUGAAGAUUUUCUGUUAGUAUGGCAAUUGGCAAAUCACACUCUGCACUAUACAAAGAAUUGCCUUAUAUACAAGAGACCAACAAAAUUGUUAUUCUAACUAACUAUACAGGUUGGACUAACUAGAUUGAGAUGAGUAAUCUAACUAUGGUAAAUAAAUGGUAAAUAAAUGAUCUAACUAUACAUCUCGGUCAUGCUAAUAGAGUUGCUAUAAUAGGUAACUAAUUAAAUCAUUAAUGAGCUCCAACACCGAACGAGAAAAUGACAUGACAUACUACAUGGCUUUGAUAAUCUGCAUGUUGAUUAUAGUUUCUGAUUGCAGGCAACUGGUGGUAGCAAAUGCUGGAGAUUGCCGAGCUGUGCUGUGUCGGCGUGGAAAAGCAAUUGAAAUGUCAAGAGAUCAUAAACCUGUGUGCAUGAAAGAGAAGAAGCGUAUUGAGGCAUCUGGGGGGUAUGUCUAUGAUGGAUAUCUUAAUGGACAACUCAAUGUUGCUCGUGCUAUUGGCGAUUGGCACGUGGAAGGGAUGAAAAGCCGAGGCGGGGGACCACUCAGCGCAGAACCUGAGUUUAUGAGUACAAAACUCACCGCCGAGGAUGAAUUCCUCAUAAUUGGUUGCGACGGGAUUUGGGAUGUAUUUAGGAGCCAGAAUGCAGUAGACUUUGCUCGCCGCAGGCUUCAGGAACAUAAUGACCCCACCAUGUGUAGCAAG
RNAcentral lists this long non-coding RNA (1723 nucleotides) under Arachis ipaensis. Its description in RNAcentral is "long non-coding RNA (AIPA_LNC002060)". Lineage: Eukaryota; Viridiplantae; Streptophyta; Magnoliopsida; Fabales; Fabaceae. The record is from RNAcentral.